GUCUCAAAGGUUAAGCCAUGCAUGUCUAAGUAUAAGCAAUUAAACAGCGAAACUGCGAAUGGCUCAUUAUAUAAGUUAUCGCUUAUUUGAUAGUACCUUACUACUUGGAUAACCGUGGUAAUUCUAGAGCUAAUACGUGCUAAAAAUCCCAACUUCGGAAGGGAUGUAUUUGUUAGAUUAAAAACCAAUGC
RNAcentral lists this ribosomal RNA (191 nucleotides) under ascomycete sp. RAa2. Its description in RNAcentral is "partial small subunit ribosomal RNA". It matches the Rfam family "Eukaryotic small subunit ribosomal RNA", at positions 34 to 228 of the family's 1831-position model. The record is from RNAcentral. Lineage: Eukaryota; Fungi; Ascomycota.